Molecule: non-coding RNA, 74 nt
Organism: Entophlyctis helioformis
Lineage: Eukaryota; Fungi; Chytridiomycota; Chytridiomycetes; Chytridiales; Chytriomycetaceae
Source: the annotation of a GenBank genome assembly
GGUUCUAUGGUGUAGUUGGUUAUCACACCGUGUUCACAUCGCGGGGGUCUCCGGUUCGAUCCCGGAUGGAACCA